UGGGGGAUAUUGCACAAUGGGGGGAACCCGUGAUGCAGCGACGCCGCGUGGGUGAAGAAGCGCCUCGGCGCGUAAAGCCCUGUCAGCAGGGAAGAAAAUGACGGUACCUGAAGAAGAAGCCCCGGCUAACUACGUGCCAGCAGCCGC
Molecule: ribosomal RNA, 147 nt
Filed under: uncultured bacterium
Lineage: Bacteria
Description: partial 16S ribosomal RNA
Rfam family: Bacterial small subunit ribosomal RNA
Source: RNAcentral